AUUGAACGCUGGCGGCAGGCUUAACACAUGCAAGUCGAACGAGUGGCGGACGGGUGAGUAAUGCCUGUGAAACUUCCUGCUGGAGGGGGAUAACUACUGGAAACGGUAGCUAAUACCGCAUAACAUAGGAUGUGCCCACAUGGGAUUAGCUAGUUGGUGGGGUAAAGGCUAACCGAGCCGACGAUCCCUAGCUGGUCUGAGAGGAUGACCAGCCACCUGGGAAAUGAGACACGGUCCAGACUCCUACGGGAGGCAGCAGUGGGGAAUAUUGCGCAAUGGGCGCAACCCUGACGCAGCCAUGCCGCGUGUAUGAAGAAGGCCUUCGGGUGUUAAAGUACUUUCGGCGGGGAGGCGUUAUCUGCAGAAGAAGCACCGGCUAACUCCGUGCCAGCAGCCGCGGUAAUAC
RNAcentral lists this ribosomal RNA (406 nucleotides) under uncultured bacterium. RNAcentral's name for it is "partial 16S ribosomal RNA". It matches the Rfam family "Bacterial small subunit ribosomal RNA", at positions 30 to 526 of the family's 1533-position model. The record is from RNAcentral.